RNAcentral lists this unclassified non-coding RNA (158 nucleotides) under uncultured Cytospora. Its description in RNAcentral is "sequence contains ITS2". The record is from RNAcentral. Lineage: Eukaryota; Fungi; Ascomycota; Sordariomycetes; Diaporthales; Cytosporaceae.
CAACCCUCAAGCCCUGCUUGGUGUUGGGGCAUUACCCGGUCACACGGGUAAGCCCUGAAAUUCAGUGGCGAGCUCGCCAGGACUCCGAGCGCAGUAGUUAAACCCUCGCUUUGGAUCGUACUGGCGCGGCCCUGCCGUAAAACCCCCAACUUCUGAAA